UACAGAGGUUGCAAGCGUUGUCCGGAUUCAUUGGGCGUAAAGGGUGCGUAGGCGGCGCGGUAAGUCGGGUGUGAAAUCUCGGAGCUUAACUCCGAAACUGCAUUCGAUACUGCCGUGCUUGAGGACUGGAGAGGAGACUGGAAUUUACGGUGUAGCGGUGAAAUGCGUAGAUAUCGUAAGGAAGACCAGUGGCGAAGGCGGGUCUCUGGACAGUUCCUGACGCUGAGGCACGAAGGUCAGGGGAGCGAACGGG
This 253-nucleotide ribosomal RNA is filed under the name uncultured bacterium. RNAcentral describes it as "partial 16S ribosomal RNA". It matches the Rfam family "Bacterial small subunit ribosomal RNA", at positions 524 to 776 of the family's 1533-position model. The record is from RNAcentral.